UACAUAGGGUGCAAGCGUUGUCCGGAAUUAUUGGGCGUAAAGAGCUCGUAGGUGGUUUGUUACGUCGGUUGUGAAAUUCAGGGGCUCAACCCCUGACUUGCAGCCGAUACGGGCAAGCUAGAGUUUGGUAGGGGAGACUGGAAUUCCUGGUGUAGCGGUGGAAUGCGCAGAUAUCAGGAGGAACACCGAUGGCGAAGGCAGGUCUCUGGGCCAAUACUGACACUGAGGAGCGAAAGCGUGGGGAGCGAACAGGAUUAGAUACCCUGGUAGUCCACGCCGUAAACGGUGGGCGCUAGUUGUGCGAACCUUCCACGGUUUGUGCGACGCAGCUAACGCAUUAAGCGCCCCGCCUGGGGAGUACGAUCGCAAGAUUA
Molecule: ribosomal RNA, 374 nt
Filed under: uncultured prokaryote
Description: bacterial SSU rRNA
Rfam family: Bacterial small subunit ribosomal RNA
Source: RNAcentral